AUUGAACGCUGGCGGCAGGCUUAACACAUGCAAGUCGAGCGGGGUGAUGGUGCUUGCAUUAUCACUUAGCGGCGGACGGGUGAGUAAUGCUUAGGAAUCUGCCUAUUAGUGGGGGACAACAUCUCGAAAGGGAUGCUAAUACCGCAUACGUCCUACGGGAGAAAGCAGGGGAUCACUUGUGACCUUGCGCUAAUAGAUGAGCCUAAGUCGGAUUAGCUAGUUGGUGGGGUAAAGGCCUACCAAGGCGACGAUCUGUAGCGGGUCUGAGAGGAUGAUCCGCCACACUGGGACGGAGACACGGCCCAGACUCCUACGGGAGGCAGCAGUGGGGAAUAUCGGACAAUGGGGGGAACCCUGAUCCAGCCAUGCCGCGUGUGUGAAGAAGGCCUUAUGGUUGUAAAGCACUUUAAGCGAGGAGGAGGCUCUUUUGGUUAAUACCCAAGAUGAGUGGACGUUACUCGCAGAAUAAGCACCGGCUAACUCUGUGCCAGCCGCCGCCGUAA
RNAcentral lists this ribosomal RNA (503 nucleotides) under uncultured bacterium. Its description in RNAcentral is "partial 16S ribosomal RNA". It matches the Rfam family "Bacterial small subunit ribosomal RNA", at positions 30 to 523 of the family's 1533-position model. The record is from RNAcentral.